RNAcentral lists this microRNA (22 nucleotides) under Patiria miniata (bat star). RNAcentral describes it as "pmi-miR-200-5p". Its record names the gene pmi-miR-200-5p. The record is from miRBase by way of RNAcentral. Lineage: Eukaryota; Metazoa; Echinodermata; Asteroidea; Valvatida; Asterinidae.
CAUCAUACCGGACAGCAUUAGA